GUGCUCGCGGCCUAUCAGCUUGUUGGUGGGGUAAUGGCCUACCAAGGCUUCGACGGGUAGCCGGCCUGAGAGGGUGACCGGCCACACUGGGACUGAGACACGGCCCAGACUCCUACGGGAGGCAGCAGUGGGGAAUAUUGGACAAUGGGCGGAAGCCUGAUCCAGCAACGCCGCGUGAGGGAUGACGGCCUUCGGGUUGUAAACCUCUUUCAGUACCGACGAAGCGCCGAUGAUGGUGGUGACGGUAGGUACAGAAGAAGCACCGGCCAACUACGUG
Molecule: ribosomal RNA, 277 nt
Filed under: uncultured bacterium
Lineage: Bacteria
Description: partial 16S ribosomal RNA
Rfam family: Bacterial small subunit ribosomal RNA
Source: RNAcentral